This 230-nucleotide ribosomal RNA is filed under the name uncultured bacterium. RNAcentral's name for it is "partial 16S ribosomal RNA". It matches the Rfam family "Bacterial small subunit ribosomal RNA", at positions 563 to 791 of the family's 1533-position model. The record is from RNAcentral.
AAGCGUCCGCAGGCGGCCUUGAAAGUCUGUUGUUAAAGCGUGGAGCUCAACUCCAUUUCAGCAAUGGAAACUACAAGGCUAGAGUGUGGUAGGGGCAGAGGGAAUUCCCGGUGUAGCGGUGAAAUGCGUAGAUAUCGGGAAGAACACCAGUGGCGAAGGCGCUCUGCUGGGCCAUAACUGACGCUCAUGGACGAAAGCCAGGGGGAGCGAAAGGGAUUAGAUACCCGGGU